This 467-nucleotide ribosomal RNA is filed under the name uncultured bacterium. Its description in RNAcentral is "partial 16S ribosomal RNA". It matches the Rfam family "Bacterial small subunit ribosomal RNA", at positions 28 to 507 of the family's 1533-position model. The record is from RNAcentral.
GAUGAACGCUGGCGGCGCGCCUAACACAUGCAAGUCGAACGAUUAAAGCACCUUCGGGUGUGUAUAAAGUGGCGAACGGCUGAGUAACACGUGGGCAACCUGCCCCUUUCAUCGGGAUAGCCACGGGAAACCGCGGAUAAUACCGAAUACUUCGAGACUUCCGCAUGGAAGACUCGAGAAAGCUCCGGCGGAGAGGGAUGGGCCCGCGGCCUGUUAGCUUGUUGGUGGGGUAACGGCCUACCAAGGCAAUGAUGGGUAGCUGGGUUGAGAGACCGACCAGCCAGAUUGGGACUGAGACACGGCCCAGACUCCUACGGGAGGCAGCAGUGGGGAAUCUUGCACAAUGGGCGAAAGCCUGAUGCAGCGACGCCGCGUGCGGGAUGAAGGCCUUCGGGUUGUAAACCGCUUUCAGCAGGGACGAGGCGAAAGUGACGGUACCUGCAGAAGAAGCCCCGGCUAACUACGUG